GUUGACCUCGGAUCAGGUAGGGAUACCCGCUGAACUUAAGCAUAUCAAAAG
RNAcentral lists this ribosomal RNA (51 nucleotides) under Penicillium sp. KH00315. Its description in RNAcentral is "partial 28S ribosomal RNA". The record is from RNAcentral. Lineage: Eukaryota; Fungi; Ascomycota; Eurotiomycetes; Eurotiales; Aspergillaceae.